AACGUAGGUUCCGAGCGUUAUCCGGAUUUACUGGGCGUAAAGGGCGUUCAGGGGGUUUGGCAAGUCGGGAUUGAAAUCUCUCGGCUCAACCGGGAGAGGUUGUCCGAUACUGCUGGACUUGAGGGCAGUAGAGGGUGGUGGAAUUCCGGGUGUAGUGGUGAAAUGCGUAGAUAUCCGGAGGAACACCAGUGGCGAAAGCGGCCACCUGGACUGUACCUGACGCUGACACGCGAAAGCUAGGGGAGCGAACGGG
Molecule: ribosomal RNA, 253 nt
Filed under: uncultured bacterium
Lineage: Bacteria
Description: partial 16S ribosomal RNA
Rfam family: Bacterial small subunit ribosomal RNA
Source: RNAcentral